This 98-nucleotide transfer RNA is filed under the name Fidelibacterota bacterium. RNAcentral's name for it is "tRNA-Sec". It matches the Rfam family "Selenocysteine transfer RNA". The record is from RNAcentral. Lineage: Bacteria; Pseudomonadati; Fidelibacterota.
GGGAGCGGUUGGUAGUCUGGUGACGCCCUCGGUCUUCAAAACCGAUGAUCCCGGUGUCUCACCGGGAUGGUGGGUUCGAUCCCCACACGUUCCCGCCA